Molecule: ribosomal RNA, 253 nt
Filed under: uncultured bacterium
Lineage: Bacteria
Description: partial 16S ribosomal RNA
Rfam family: Bacterial small subunit ribosomal RNA
Source: RNAcentral
UACGUAGGGGGCAAGCGUUGUCCGGAAUCAUUGGGCGUAAAGCGCGUGUAGGCGGCCAGAAAAGUCCGCUGUGAAAACUCGAGGCUCAACUUCGAGCUGUCGGUGGAAACUUUCUGGCUAGAGUCCGGAAGAGGAGAAUGGAAUUCCUGGUGUAGCGGUGAAAUGCGCAGAUAUCAGGAAGAACACCCGUGGCGAAGGCGGUUCUCUGGGCCUUACCUGACGCUGAGGAGCGAAAGCGUGGGGAGCGAACAGG